AGUGAACGCUGGCGGUAGGCCUAACACAUGCAAGUCGAACGGCAGCACAGUAAGAGCUUGCUCUUACGGGUGGCGAGUGGCGGACGGGUGGGGAAUACAUCGGAAUCUACUUUUUCGUGGGGGAUAACGUAGGGAAACUUACGCUAAUACCGCAUACGACCUACGGGGGAAAGCAGGGGAUCUUCGGACCUUGCGCGAUUGAAUGAGCCGAUGUCGGAUUAGCUAGUUGGCGGGGUAAAGGCCCAGCAAGGCGACGAUCCGUAGCUGGUCUGUGAGGAGGAUCCGCCACACUGGAACUGACACCCGCUCCAGACCCCUACGGGGGGCAGCAGUGGGGAAUAUUGGAGAAUGGGCGCAAGCCUGAUCCAGCCAGACCGCGUGGGUGAAGAAGGCCUUCGGGUUGUAAAGCCCUUUUGUUGGGAAAGAAAAUCAGCAGGUUAAUACCCCGCUGUUCUGACGGUACCCAAAGAAUAAGCACCGGCUAACUUCG
This 490-nucleotide ribosomal RNA is filed under the name uncultured bacterium. RNAcentral's name for it is "partial 16S ribosomal RNA". It matches the Rfam family "Bacterial small subunit ribosomal RNA", at positions 29 to 505 of the family's 1533-position model. The record is from RNAcentral.